ACCACAACAGGUGGAGCCUGCGGUUUAAUCGGACUCAACGCCGGGAAACUCACCAGAUAAGACAGCUGAAUGAUAGUCGGGCUGAAGACUCACUUGACUAGCUGAGAGGAGGUGCAUGGCCGUCGUCAGUUCGUACUGUGAAGCAUCCUGUUAAGUCAGGCAACGAGCGAGACCCACGCCAACAGUUGCCAGCUCGUCCUCCGGGAUGGUGGGGACACUGUUGGGACCGCCUCUGCUAAAGAGGAGGAAGGAAUGGGCAACGGUAGGUCAGCAUGCCCCGAAUUAUCUGGGCUACACGCGGGCUACAAUGGGUGGGACAAUGGGUAUCGACACCGAAAGGUGAAGGCAAUCUCCUAAACCCAUCCGUAGUUCGGAUUGUGGGCUGCAACUCGCCCACAUGAAGCUGGAAUCUGUAGUAAUCGUGUCUCAAAAUGGCACGGUGAAUAUGUCCCUGCUCCUU
This 460-nucleotide ribosomal RNA is filed under the name uncultured Methanomicrobiales archaeon. RNAcentral describes it as "bacterial SSU rRNA". It matches the Rfam family "Archaeal small subunit ribosomal RNA", at positions 878 to 1338 of the family's 1478-position model. Lineage: Archaea; Methanobacteriati; Methanobacteriota; Methanomicrobia; Methanomicrobiales. The record is from RNAcentral.